This 506-nucleotide ribosomal RNA is filed under the name Campsicnemus unu. RNAcentral describes it as "partial 12S ribosomal RNA". The record is from RNAcentral. Lineage: Eukaryota; Metazoa; Arthropoda; Insecta; Diptera; Dolichopodidae.
AUUUUAUAAAUAUAAAAGUUAAAUUGAAUUUAUUUAAUUAAUAAAAAAAAAUUAGGUGAAAUUUUAUUUUUUUUUAAUUAAUAUAAAAAAUUGUAUUGAAUCUUGAAAAUUUUAUUUUUAAACUAGGAUUAGAUACCCUAUUAUUUAAUUAUUUAUUAAUAAAAGAUUAGAGUAGUAAUAGUUAUGGUCUUGAAACUCAAAAAAUUUGGCGGUAUUUUAGUCUAUUCAGAGGAACCUGUAAUGUAAUCGAUAAUCCMCGAUGGAUCUCACUUAAUUUUGUAAUUUAAUUUGUAUAUCGCCGUUAUUUGAAAAUUUUAUAAGAAAAAUAAUUUUCUAGAAUUUUUAUUAAAAAAUAAAUCAGGUCAAGGUGCAGUUUAUAAUUAAGUUUUAUAUGGGUUACAAUAAAUUUAUUUAUACGAAUUARAAAAUGAAAUAUUUUUAAGAAGGUGGAUUUGAUAGUAAAUUUUUAAAGAUAAGAAAAUUGAUUUUAGCUCUAAAAUAUGUAC